AAAUGUUACUCAGCGCAUCACACGGAUGCCUUGACUCUCAAAUCCGAUGAAGGACGUGGCCAGCUGCGAAAAGCUUCGGUCAGCCGCUAGGCAGGCGCUACCAGCCGAAGAUAUCCGAAUGGGGAAACCCCAUAGACUUAAUAGUUUAUGACUUAAUUUAUUUUAAGAGGAAGACUCUGUGAACUGAAACAUCUAAGUAACAGGGGAAAAGAAAUCAAACGAGAUUCCCGUAGUAGUGGCGAGCGAACCGGGAACAGCCCAAACCCUCUAUUUAUAGAGGGGGUUGUAGGACCUCAAUAUCCGACUGCACGAAUCUAGACAAACGUUCUGGAAAGGACGGCCAUAGUGGGUGACAGCCCCGUAGUCGAAAGGUAAGUGCACGGUAGAGGUUUCCUGAGUAAGGUCGGACACGUGAAAUCCGGCCCGAAUCUGGGAGGACCACCUUCCAAGGCUAAACAGUUUGAGAGAUCAAUAGCGAAUAGUACCGUGAGGGAAAGGUGAAAAGCACCCCGAAAGGGGGAUGAAAUAGUUUCUGAAAUGUGAUGCGUUCAAGGAGUCGGAGCCCCCUUAAGGGGUCACGGCGUUCCUUUUGCCUAAUGAACCAACGACUUCGUUGUCAGUGGCAUGGCUAAGACAGUUUUAGUCGCAGCCGUAGCGAAAGCGAGUCCGAAUAGGGCGAAUUAGUCGCUGGCACGAGACCCGAAACCGGGUGAGCUAUCCAUGAGCAGGGCGAAGGUUGACGAAAGUCAACUGGAGGCCCGAACCAUAAUGUAUCGCAAGACAUUGGGAUGACUUGUGGAUUGGAGUGAAAAGCUUAUCGAACCCGGAGAUAGCUGGUUCUCCUCGAAAUGUUUUUUGGAACAGCCUCAUAGUAUACGAUGGGGGGUAGAGCUACUGUUUCGACAAGGGGGUCUUCUAGGCCUACCAAGUCCUGACAAACUCCGAAUACCCAUCUUUAGAGCUAUGGGAGUGAGACGGUGACAGCGAAGUGCCAUCGUCGAGAGGGCAACAGCCCAGAUCGUUUGUUAAGGUCCCAAAUAUCAGUUAAGUAUAUCAAAGGAAGUGUUUUCGCAUAGACAACCAGGAGGUUUGCUUAGAAGCAGCCAUCCUUUAAAGAAAGCGUAACAGCUCACUGGUCGAUCGCGAAAGCGCGCCGAAAAUUCACGGGAUUUAAACUGAUAACCGAAACAGCGAAUGUCAGGAAGAUGCGUCUUCCUGGUGUAGUAGAGGAGCGUUCUGUACAGCGGUGAAGCUCUGUUGUAAGGCAGGGUGGAGCGUACAGAAGUGAGAAUGUUGGUAUGAGUAACCACAAGACAGGUGAAAACCCUGUCCGCCGAAUUUCCAAGGUUUCCCACGCAACGUCGAUCGGCGUGGGGUUAGUCGGUCCUAAGGUGAGGCUGAAAAGCGUAGCCGAUGGACAGCAGUUUAAUAUUACUGCACCUCGUAUGGAUCGCCCAAACAAAGAGAUUAAGAGCUUUUUUGGCCUCUGGUCUGCACCACAUUGAGCUUACAAAUCCGAAGAUCAAAAUACUAAAUCCGAGACAAGUUCGAAUUUGAAAAUUAGAAUUUCGAAACUGUUUAGAAUUUGGUUCUUAGUUCUUCGCAUUUUCCCAAGUUCAGCGUGGUGUAGAUCAUGUCACGAGAGAAGUAGAUCUCGGCGUUAGGAGCGGCAUGACGGAGACGGAUGACCAGAACGUACGCAUUGACUGUACGUAGAAGGCACGAAGCGUUGAGAGUGGUAGGUAAAUCCGCCACUUGAGCAAAGUGCAUAUCAAUCGCCCCUUUAUUGGGGAAGAGUCUGGCUCAUUCGGCUUUCAAGAAAAUCGUCGCUUCCAGACACAUAUGAGACCGUACCGCAAACCAACACUGGUGGAAUGGUCGAGUAGACCAAGGCGAUCGGGACAACUUGCGUUAAGGAACUCUGCAAAAAAGCGUCCGUAACUUCGGGAUAAGGACUGCCCUAGGUUCAUUCCUAGGGCCGCAGCGAAAGAGGCCAGGCGACUGUUUACCAAAAACACAGGUCCCUGCUAAGCCGUAAGGCGAUGUAUAGGGGCUGAUGCCUGCCCAGUGUCAGAAGGUCACGUGAGGAGGUGUAUGCUUCCGAUCUAAGCCCUGAUGAACGGCGGCCGUAACUAUAACGGUCCUAAGGUAGCGAAAUUCCUUGUCGGGUGGUCAAAUUACUUGCCCGAAUGAUCUGCAAAGAUCAGCACUGAGGAAGUUUCGUAAAAAGUUUUAUACAUCAAGUAGGUAAGCAGUUAAUUAUUCUUUCGUAGAUGACAACUGUCAUCUAUAGAGUUCAAAAUAUGAAUACGGGUAAAAAGAGACAGAAGAAGACAACGUGUACCAAAACCCGCCUUCGCUCUCUAAGAGCUACGGUGGGCAAGCAGUGAGAAACGUCGCUAUAUGCUGGAAAAUCCCAUGUAUCCUCUACGCCGAAAGGUACGAGGUGGGGACAAUCAGCAGGAAACCCGGCUUUGUCUAACGACUACGCCGAGGGCUCCUCAGAGACUACACGCGACACUCCUUAGAAAUAAGGAUGAUGAUAUAGUCCGAUCCCUGCAGCGAUGUAGGGUGCCGAGAAUCGUAUCGGCAGCUAAAAAACAAUAUACGAGAAAGAACCGAGAACGAUAGAACUGAGAACGUAGAAUUCUACGUUCUACAUUCCACGUUCAAUAUUCUUUUCUGGUUGUGCGCUCAAGGUUUCCUUGAGUACCAGACUCACCAUCUGGUGGAACCAACAUUCGAAGUUCCGACCCGCACGAAUGGUACCACGGUCUGGUCAC
RNAcentral lists this ribosomal RNA (2783 nucleotides) under wastewater metagenome. RNAcentral describes it as "bacterial LSU rRNA". It matches the Rfam family "Bacterial large subunit ribosomal RNA", at positions 1 to 2016 of the family's 2925-position model. The record is from RNAcentral.